RNAcentral lists this long non-coding RNA (261 nucleotides) under Mytilus galloprovincialis (Mediterranean mussel). Lineage: Eukaryota; Metazoa; Mollusca; Bivalvia; Mytilida; Mytilidae. The record is from RNAcentral.
CUUGGCACGGAUUUUUGUUUUAUUUCCCCUUAUAAAACGUAAUUUCUCACCUGCAUCGUCAAAUUUGGAAAAUCUAUGCCCAUUGUGAUUUCCUGUCACACAACUGGUACAUACCGGUACAUUACAUGUAUUACACAAUAACGUUAAUUCUUCUUUAUGUUCAUUACAUUUAGAUUUACCUUCCGGAAUCUGCUCUGAAGACUUUUGAAACAGAUGGUUUCUCGAUAACUUCUGCCUUUUAUGUAGCAACUUACAAUUUUC